GAUUCAUCCUUGCUCGCAAGUGCAGAAAGCUGUCGGACCUGACCAAAGAAGAAAGGCUGAAGAGGAUCUGUGAGAUUUACUCCAGAGUGCUGGGCUCAGAGGAAGCUCUGCAUCCUGUGCACUAUGAGGAGAAGAACUGGUGUGAGGAGGAGUACUCUGGUGGCUGCUACACCGCCUAUUUCCCCCCAGGAAUCCUGACCCAGUU
Long non-coding RNA from Nematolebias whitei (Rio pearlfish), 205 nucleotides. RefSeq lists it as uncharacterized. The transcript has 3 exons. The record is from RefSeq and is a predicted model, not a curated record. Lineage: Eukaryota; Metazoa; Chordata; Actinopteri; Cyprinodontiformes; Rivulidae.